GGGACAAUAGGUCCCGUACGUACCCUGAAGCCUGCAUCCAUCCAGGUGAAACAAAAGCUCUUUCCAAACACCAUGAACUCUGUUGCCUUGGAUAAAGCAGAAUCCAGAUCUAAGGAGCCACUGCUGGAUGUGCUGGCCCCUUCUGGAGCAGUGUGGGGCCAGAGCAUGGAGGGAGGCAGCCUUCGUCCUGCUGGGCCACCAACUUGGAGCCACUCCAGACAUGGAGAUCUGAGGCAUUGAGAGAAAGUGGCUUGACCCAGGCCACACACAGGAUCGGUGGCAGAGCAAGCAAUGGAAGCCAGCUCUCUGGAUUCCCAAGCCCAUGCUCAACCACUAGAGGGCCCUGUUGUCACCAGCACUGACUGGCUCACAGCGAGAUCAAGACGCUGCUCCCAGGUCAUCGCUGUGGUUCAUGGCCAGUCUCACUUCCUUGCCAAGCAGAGGAAAGACACAGCACAGAAUGGGGAAUAAAAAGAGUA
Molecule: long non-coding RNA, 479 nt
Organism: Pelodiscus sinensis (Chinese soft-shelled turtle)
Lineage: Eukaryota; Metazoa; Chordata; Testudines; Trionychidae
Source: RefSeq, a predicted model, not a curated record